Long non-coding RNA from Ruditapes philippinarum (Manila clam), 439 nucleotides. RefSeq lists it as uncharacterized. Lineage: Eukaryota; Metazoa; Mollusca; Bivalvia; Venerida; Veneridae. The record is from RefSeq and is a predicted model, not a curated record. The transcript is spliced from 3 exons.
CUGUGUUUGGUAAAUAUAUUAGUUUUUAGCCUCGUUCUGAAUGGUUCUAUUUUUAAUUCUUGAUUUUCAUUGGUCGUGGCAUCGUUUCCGCCUAAGCUGAGUUUUAGUUCAAGUUUUUGGAGGGGUCUAGAUGUGUUUGACAUCUUUUGGAAGUUUUAGUUUUGUUUCUGUUGAAAAGGUUAAGUGUAUUGUCAAAUGGAUUAAUUGUAUAGAGUUUUACUGAUAGUCACAGUGUGAGGAGGCGGUUGAGAGAGUUUAUGCAGGUGUUAUUUAUAAUUGUGGACAGUGCCAUACACUGGUCACCUUGUUGUUAAUCACCUUGUAUCAUACGUUUGGAGAGGAGUAGUUUGUGAAGUGGAAUGGACAUGAUCAUGAUAUAAAAUAUGUGUAACAUAUCAGGUGUUUUAUAUAUACAGUAUAAUAAUAUUAAGUAGAACUG